RNAcentral lists this long non-coding RNA (331 nucleotides) under Hordeum vulgare. Its description in RNAcentral is "long non-coding RNA (HVUL_LNC018901)". Lineage: Eukaryota; Viridiplantae; Streptophyta; Magnoliopsida; Poales; Poaceae. The record is from RNAcentral.
GGUCAUCUUCCGGGCCACUACGUUAACCUGUAUGUGGUUGCUACUCACCGCGAUGGAUGCAAGGGAGUGUAUGGUUACUGGGUCUAUCAGCUGGGAGAUGGUAGCACGGGGUAUCUUCAACCGGUUUGGAUGGCUGUCAUGUAAUAGGAUAGGUGUUUAGUUCCCUAUCUUUUUUGCUGCCGGUUGUGGCUCUCCCUUUUCCUUACUUACAUCUCUUAGUGAGCAUCUUUAUUUGUUGAGACUUGGAGACUUUGUUCAACUAUUUUUUCUAAUAAAGUAGCCGCAUGCAUCAUUCUGAUGCGGAGGCCGGGGGAUAACCACCUUUUCGGAG